GGUGGUUCUCGGGUGACACACCCCAGAAUUGGACUCCCUCCUCUCUGAUUCCAGGUGCGUCACCCAAGAACCGCA
Non-coding RNA from Myotis lucifugus (little brown bat), 75 nucleotides. The record is from Rfam. Lineage: Eukaryota; Metazoa; Chordata; Mammalia; Chiroptera; Vespertilionidae.